AGACCAGCUUCUAAUCGUCCU
Molecule: ribosomal RNA, 21 nt
Filed under: Lacrymaria lacrymabunda
Lineage: Eukaryota; Fungi; Basidiomycota; Agaricomycetes; Agaricales; Psathyrellaceae
Description: partial 28S ribosomal RNA
Source: RNAcentral